Pelobates cultripes (western spadefoot toad) is the source of this 175-nucleotide non-coding RNA. NCBI's taxonomy places the organism in Eukaryota, Metazoa, Chordata, Amphibia, Anura, Pelobatidae. The record is from the annotation of a GenBank genome assembly.
UCCAGCGCACUCACCUAUCCACUAAACAGCAACUUCAAUGUUGAAAGAUUUUAUUUGUUUUUUUAAAAACACCUAAUUUAGGCAUUAUUUUUGCCUAAAUUAGGUGUUUUUAAAAAAACAAAUAAAAUCUUUCAACAUUGAAGUUGCUGUUUAGUGGAUAGGUGAGUGCGCUGGA